Molecule: ribosomal RNA, 433 nt
Filed under: uncultured bacterium
Lineage: Bacteria
Description: partial 16S ribosomal RNA
Rfam family: Bacterial small subunit ribosomal RNA
Source: RNAcentral
AACGAACGCUGGCGGCAUGCCUAACACAUGCAAGUCGAACGAGACCUUCGGGUCUAGUGGCGCACGGGUGCGUAACGCGUGGGAACCUGCCCUUAGGUUCGGAAUAACUCCCCGAAAGGGGUGCUAAUACCGGAUAAUGUCUUCUGACCAAAGAUUUAUCGCCUUUGGAUGGGCCCGCGUUGGAUUAGCUAGUUGGUAGGGUAAAAGCCUACCAAGGCGACGAUCCAUAGCUGGUCUGAGAGGAUGAUCAGCCACACUGGGACUGAGACACGGCCCAGAAUACUAAGGGAGGGGGGAAGGGGGAAAAAUGGAAAAAGGGGGGAAGGCAGAAACAGGAAAGGCGGGGGAAGGAAGAAGGCCUUAGGGUUGUAAAGCUCUUUUACCCGGGAUGAUAAUGACAGUACCGGGAGAAUAAGCGCCGGCUAACUCCGUG